This is a non-coding RNA of Bacteroides oleiciplenus YIT 12058, 173 nucleotides long. The record is from Rfam. NCBI's taxonomy places the organism in Bacteria, Pseudomonadati, Bacteroidota, Bacteroidia, Bacteroidales, Bacteroidaceae.
UCCAUCGUGAGUUGGAAUCUGAAGGAAGGUAGCGGCAAACAUCUGGCCUGACGUACAGAAACCGGAUAUAAGGCUAAAGGAUGUGGGUUAGUCUGCUAAACAAGACAAAGCCUUAUAACUAUCCGGAAACAUCCAAAGUAAAUCCGGCAGGUAUAAGAUGGAAAGAAUGUAUU